GUUUGAUCAUGGCUCAGAACGAACGCUGGCGGCAUGCUUAACACAUGCAAGUCGAACGAGACUUCGGGUCUAGUGGCGCACGGGUGCGUAACGCGUGGGAAUCUGCCCUUAGGUACGGAAUAACUCAGAGAAAUUUGUGCUAAUACCGUAUGAUGUCGCAAGACCAAAGAUUUAUCGCCUAAGGAUGAGCCCGCGUAAGAUUAGCUUGUUGGUGAGGUAAAAGCUCACCAAGGCGACGAUCUUUAGCUGGUCUGAGAGGAUGAUCAGCCACACUGGGACUGAGACACGGCCCAGACUCUACGGGAGGCAGCAGUGGGGAAUAUUGGACAAUGGGCGAAAGCCUGAUCCAGCAAUGCCGCGUGAGUGAUGAAGGCCUUAGGGUUGUAAAGCUCUUUUACCAGGGAUGAUAAUGACAGUACCUGGAGAAUAAGCUCCGGCUAACUCCGUGCCAGCAGCCGCGGUAAUACGGAGGGAGCUAGCGUUGUUCGGAAUUACUGGGCGUAAAGAGUACGUAGGCGGUGAUUCAAGUCAGAGGUGAAAGCCUGGAGCUCAACUCCAGAACUGCCUUUGAAACUAGAUCGCUAGAAUCAUGGAGAGGUUAGUGGAAUUCCGAGUGUAGAGGUGAAAUUCGUAGAUAUUCGGAAGAACACCAGUGGCGAAGGCGACUAACUGGACAUGUAUUGACGCUGAGGUAC
This 695-nucleotide ribosomal RNA is filed under the name alpha proteobacterium AP-11. RNAcentral's name for it is "bacterial SSU rRNA". It matches the Rfam family "Bacterial small subunit ribosomal RNA", at positions 11 to 754 of the family's 1533-position model. Lineage: Bacteria; Pseudomonadati; Pseudomonadota; Alphaproteobacteria. The record is from RNAcentral.